GAUGAACGCUGGCGGCGUGCCUAAUACAUGCAAGUCGAGCGAACAGACGAGGAGCUUGCUCCUCUGACGUUAGCGGCGGACGGGUGAGUAACACGUGGUUAACCUACCUAUACGACUGGGAUACCAUCAGGAAACAGGAGCUAAUACCGGAUAAUAUAUUGAACCGCAUGGUUCAAUAGUGAAAGUCGGUUUUUCUGUCACUUAUAGAUGGCUCCGCGCCGCAUUAGUUAGUUGGUAAGGUAACGGCUUACCAAGGCAGCGAUGCUUAACCGACCUGAGAGGGUGAUCGGCCACACGGGAACUGAGACACGGUCCAGACUCUGACGGUAGGCAGCAGUAGAGAAUCUUCCGCGAGGGAGGAAUGCGGGACAGAGCAACGCCGCGUGAAGGAUGAUGGUCUUCGGAUCGGAGAGCUCUGUAAUUAGGGGAGAACAAAUGUGUAAGUAACUAUGCACGUCUUGACGGUACCGAAUCAGAAAGCCACGGCUAACUACGUG
This 497-nucleotide ribosomal RNA is filed under the name uncultured bacterium. Its description in RNAcentral is "partial 16S ribosomal RNA". It matches the Rfam family "Bacterial small subunit ribosomal RNA", at positions 28 to 507 of the family's 1533-position model. The record is from RNAcentral.